AGCUUCGACUGUAUCUUGGAAUUGGGUUCGGCUUUUCUUGCGCAGACUAGGUGGAAGGCUAUGAAGAUUUUCUUCUGGGAAAGUUGGAGCCAACAGUGAGGAGACCACUCUGGAAAGGCUAGAAUCCUAAUGGUGAUCCUUGAAUCAGGACACUUGACAGUUUCAGGUGGGCAGUUUUUCUGGGGCGGAAGCCUCAUAAAAGGUAACUGAGGCGCGCAAAGGUCCCCUCAGUCUGGACGGAAAUCAGACAUUGAGUGUAAAGGCAAAAAGGGGGCUUGACUGCAAGACCCACAAGUCGAGCAGCGGGCGAAAGCUGGCCUUAGUGAUCCGACGGUGCCGUGGUGGAAGGGGCCGUCGCUCAACGAAUAAAAGUUA
This 375-nucleotide ribosomal RNA is filed under the name uncultured alga. RNAcentral's name for it is "bacterial LSU rRNA". It matches the Rfam family "Bacterial large subunit ribosomal RNA", at positions 2097 to 2465 of the family's 2925-position model. The record is from RNAcentral.